GCCUUAUUGAGCCCUGAUAGGCUUGCUGGGGAUAAAACCUGGAGCUUGGGAGAGGAGAGCGACAUUUUGGAGCAAGAUGGCAAGAGGGACGGCGGCCACAUACCUGCAUGGAGUCCUUCUCCUGGCUCUGCUGAAACCUUCACUGCAAGGAGGUGUAUACAUACCAGCUGGUGGUGCUGCAGGAGGAGCUGGAACUGGUAUCGGAGCUGGUGCAGGACCUGGAACUGGAUUUGGACCAGGUGGGACUGGAACAGGUUUUGGCCCUGGAGGAGCUGGGACUGGAUUUCAGCCUGGUGGAGGAGUUGGACCAGGAGGUGCUGGCGGAGGUUUAGGAGGAUUUGGACCAGGAGCUGGUGGAGGUGGCUACGGUGGUCAAGGACCAGGAGGUGUCGGACCAGGAGGUGUCAGACCAGGAGGAGUCGGACCUGGAGGAGUCGUACCAGGAGGUGUCGGACCAGGAGGUGUCGGACCAGGAGGUGUUGGACCAGGUGGUGUCGGACCUGGAGGAGUCGUACCUGGAGGUGUCGGACCAGGAGGAGUUGGACCUGGAGGGUUCAGGCCCAGCACCUUUGGUCCAGGCAGUGGUGGACUUGGAGUUGUACCUGGAGGAGUUGGGGCUGGUGUAAAGCCGCCAAAAACAGGGGGUGGCUACGGCACUCGUGGGGCAGGACUGGGAGCUGGAGGUGUAGGAGGAGGACUGGGACCGGGCGGAGUAGGGUCAGGUGGUUUUGGACCAGGUGGUGUUGGACCUGGAGGCUAUGGAACCAGACCUGGAGGAGUUGGUCCCAGUGGUUUUGGACCAGGACACACUGGUCCUGGUGGUCAAGGGACAGGAUAUGGAGGCCUUGGAGCAGGGGGAGUGGGUGGAGGGACCCUUGGAGCAGGAGGCACUGGGACUGGUGGAGGUCUGGGAGCUGGAACAGGCGUCACCCCUGGGGGUGGAUAUGGAGGUGGUUAUGGACCAGGUGGUGUGAUUCAAUACCCAGGAACUGGUCCCAAACCUCCCAAAACAGGCGGUGUUGAAACAUCACUUGGAGGAACAGGUUAUGGGCCAGGUGGAGCAGGGUUUGGGCCUGGUGGAGCAGGGUUUGGGCCUGGUGGAGCAGGAUUUGGUCCAGGUGGUGCAGGAGUUGGGCCUGGUGGAGCAGGAUUUGGGCCUGGUGGAGCAGGAUUUGGGCCUGGUGGAGCAGGAUUUGGGCCUGGUGGUGCAGGAGUUGGGCCAGGUGGAGCAGGAUUUGGGCCUGGUGGUGCAGGAGUUGGGCCAGGUGGAGCAGGAUUUGGGCCUGGUGGUGCAGGAGUUGGGCCAGGUGGAGCAGGAUUUGGGCCUGGUGGUGCAGGAGUUGGGCCAGGUGGAGCAGGAUUUGGGCCAGGUGGAGCAGGAGUGGGGCCUGGAGGUGCAGGAUUUGGGCCUGGUGGUGCAGGAUUUGGGCCUGGUGGUGCAGGAGUUGGGCCUGGUGGUGCAGGAGUUGGGCCAGGUGGAGUGAGUCCAGGUGGAGCUGCUGUGCCUGGUGGAGCUCCGCUGCUCCCACAGACUGGUACUACAGGGGGAGGACCAGGAGGAAAGAGUGGUGGAAAAGCAUCAAAACAAGUUCCAGGUAUUGGAGUGCCUGGACUCUAUCAAGGUGGAUUUGUACCAGGACAAGGUUUUGGAGGCCGUGGUGUUCUCCCUGGAGUGGCCACAGGAUCUGGACUUGGUCCUCAGACUGGGACCGGCGUACUCGGUCAGGGGGGUGUUGGAACAGGAGGAGCAGGCAAUGGCCGUGGACAGCAGCUGCCUGGGGUUUUUCGUGGAUACCCUCUCAUAUCACCAAAAUCAGGUGCAGGAAAAUCAAAGAAUCCAGCCAAAAUUGCAGCUAAAUAUGGUGGAGCUGGCAGACUUGGUCAGGGAGGAACUUUGGGUGGUGGGGCUGGAAGAGAAGGUGUAGGGGGUACCCCUGGAUUUGGAGGCGGAGUUGGAACAGGCGGUGGACCAGGAGCUGUACCUGGAUUUGGAGGCGGAGUUGGAACAGGCGGCGGGCCGGGAUUAGUACCUGGAUUUGGAGGCGGAGUUGGAACAGGCGGCGGGCCGGGAUCAGUACCUGGAUUUGGAGGCGGAGCAGGAACAGGAGGCGGGCCUGGUUUAGGUUAUGGACCUGGCUCAGCCAAAGCACGCAAAUAUGGCAGUGGAGGCACUGGAGUAGCUGGAGGCCUUGGAGCUGGUGUUGGUCUUGGCACAGCAGGAGGACCUGGUGGUUUUGGUCCAGGUGGUGCUGGCACUGGCGCAGCUGGAGGCCUGGGAGGCGGAAGACAGGGAGGAGGAGUUGGCCCUGGCACGGGUGUGGGACCUGGCUCUGGGGUUGGUUUUGGUCCAGGUGGUGCGGGCACUGGGCCAGGCGGUCUUGGCUACGGUCCUGGUGGUGCUGGCACUGGGCCAGGCGGUCUUGGCUAUGGUCCUGGUGGUGCUGGCCUUGGAACAGGAGGCACAGGAACAGGGCCCGGAGGAUAUGAUGCCAGUGCCAAAGCCCGUAAAUAUGGCAUGUUAAGUGGAGCACUUGGAGGUCCAGGAAUAGGUACUGGAGGAGUCAGGCCUGGUGGUGCUGGAACUGGCUAUGGACCAGGUGGAGUUGGACCAAGUGGAGUUGGACCAGGCGGAGUAGGACCAGGUGGAGUAGGACCCGGUGGUGCUGGCACUGGCUAUGGACCAGGUGGAGUUGGACCCGGUGGUGCUGGAACUGGAUUUGGACCAGGUGGAGUUGGACCUGGUGGUGCUGGAACUGGCUAUGGACCAGGUGGAGUUGGACCCGGUGGUGCUGGAACUGGCUAUGGACCAGGUGGAGUUGGACCCGGUGGUGCUGGCACUGGCUAUGGACCAGGUGGAGUUGGACCCGGUGGUGCUGGAACUGGCUAUGGACCAGGUGGAGUUGGACCCGGUGGUGCUGGAACUGGCUAUGGACCAGGUGGAGUUGGACCUGGUGGUACUGGCACUGGCUAUGGACCUGGAGGUUAUGCUGGUGCCAAAGCCCGUAAAUAUGGUCUUCCUGGAGGUGCUGGAGGUGCCCUGGGUGCAGGAGGACUUGGGGGUGGGGUUGGGCCUGGUACUGGGCUCGGAGUAGGAGGAGGGUUUCCUGGACGAGGUGUUGGAGUAACAACUGGUGGUGGACCUGGAGCAGGAGUAGGGGUGGCUGGGACACCUGGUUCUGGUAUUGGAACAGGAGGUGGACCAGGUGGCUUUGGACCAGGCGGUGCUGGAGGGCUACCUGGUGGUGGCGGAGCCCCUGGAUCUGGUCUAGAUGGAAGAUUUGGUGGCCCAGCAGCAGGUGGUUAUGGUCCAGGGACUGGAGGAGCACUAGGGACUGGAAGAGGAUAUGGACCUGGUGGAUAUGGGCCUGUGGCUGGGACUGGUUAUGGACCAGGUGGAGGUUAUGGUUUAGGACCAGGUGCUGGAUAUGGAACAGGUUAUGGAGCUGGAUCAAAACUUGCUAAAUAUGGUCCCGGUGGAGCAGGUGCUGGUGGGGUACUUGGAGGUGGACUAGGACGAGGAGGUGGCUAUGGAACAGGAGGCUAUGGAACUGGCAGUGGAGGCUAUGGUACAGCUGGAUCUAAAGCUGCUAAAUACGGGCAACCUGGUGGAGUUGUUCCCGGGACAGGAGCAGGGACUGGUGUUGGAGUGAAUGGCACCAGCACUUUAACUGGUGCACGGGCAACAGCUAGACCAAGUGGAGGACCUGGAGCUACAGGAGGCACAGCAGCUCCAGCAUCAGAAGGUGAUGGUGGUGCUGGCAGUGUGAUAGAGGGGUCUGGGAGUCCUGGAGGAGAAGGAGUUACUGGUGUAGCUGGCAGACCAGUAGGUGCAGGAGGUGAUAGAGAUGUCCUGGGUGGAACAGGGAUCCCCAUCAUUGGAGCAAAACCAGGACUCAAUGGGACCACAGUCCCAGGUUCCACAGGAGCUUCCCCUGUUGGUGGUGGGGCUGUACAACCAAGUGCUGGGACCGGAGUUGGUGGUACAAGAGUUCCCCCUGGAGGCUCUGGUGGUGAUGUCUCAAAUGGAGCAUUGCCUGGCGCCAAACCUCUCAAACCCCCAGGUGUCCCUCGAGGUGACACACCAGGUGAAGGAGAUGGAGAAGAUGGCCCCGAUGGAGAGAGAGGUGGUACAGGAGGCACAGGUGGAGGGCCAGGAGGAGUAGGAGGGGGACCUACCAGAGCAGGACCAGCAGGAGGUGUUUCUGGUGGUGCAACAGCAGUAGGAAGAGGAGACGGUCCUGCUACUGGAACUGGACUUGGAUCAGGAGGUGCAGCUGGUGGAGUAGGAGGAACACCAAAACCACCCAAAGAUGGGACUGUCGCAGGAGGUGUAAGCGCAGGACCUGGUGGAGCUGGUGGACUUGCAGGAGGAGUUGGGUCAGCUGGACGAGGUCCUGGAGGAGCAGGCCUGGUACCUGGGGCUGGUGGAGUAGGAACAGGAUUCGCAAAACCUGGAAAAAGCUAUGGUGCUUUUGGAGCUGGAGUUUCACCAGGCGGAGGCAUACGUUACCCAACAGGAGCUGGAGUAGGACAAGGAACAGGAAAACCAGGCAAAGCAUAUGGAACUCUCGGAGUAGGAGGACAGGGUGGGUUUGGACCUGGCGGAUAUGGAGCUGGUCCUGGUGGCUUUGGUACUGGUCCGGGAGGUUACGGAGUGGGACCCGGAGGUUACGGGGCUGGCCCAGGUGGUUAUGGAGCUGGACCUGGAGGCUAUGGAGGCACAACUGGAAGCAGAGGCAUCGGUGGUGGUCCUGGGGGUGUUGGGACUCUUGGAGUUGGAACUGGUCCAGGAGGUGUAGGUCCUGGCGGAGUUGGUGGCGGACUGGGUGGAUACGGUGGUGGUGUGGGGCCUGAUGGUUCUAGAUAUGGUACAGGUCCAGGACGGGGCACUGGGACUGGUGCUGGCAAACCACCAAAAAGUUAUGGAGCAGGAGCUGGUGGUACUGGUGUUGGACCUGGUGGCUAUGGCACUGGACCAGGUGGAGCUGGUUCUGGUCCAGGAGGUUUUGGACCAGGUGGCUUUGUGCCAGGCGGCCCUGGUGCUGGUACUUAUGGACCAGGUGGCACUGGUUCAGGUGGAUAUGGGGCCGGCACUGGAACUAGACCUGGUGGCUUUGGACCAGGUGGUGCCGGAACAGGAACAGGAGGCUUCGGAACAGGUGGUGCCGGAAUAGGAACAGGAGGCUUCGGACCAGGUGGUGUCGGAACAGGAACAGGAGCCUUCGGACCAGGUGGUGCCGGAACAGGAGGCUUCGGACCAGGUGGGGCUGGAACAGGAGGCUUCGGACCAGGUGGGGCUGGAACAGGAGGCUUCGGACCAGGUGGGGCUGGAACAGGAGGCUUUGGACCAGGUGGUGCCGGGGCUCAAGGACUGGGGACAAGAAAACCACCCAAAUCAGGUUAUGGAUCAUCCUCACUGGGUGGAGCUGGCUUUGGACCAGGUGCAGGAGUUGGACCUGGUGGAACAGGUACCGGACCUGGCAGAUAUGGGCCGGGUGGCUUCGGACCAGGUGGUACUGGCGUUGGAACGGGAGGCUUUGGACCAGGUGGUACUGGCGUAGGAACAGGAGGCUUUGGACCAGGGGGUGCUGGCACAGGAACAGGUGGCUUUGGACCAGGUGGUGCUGGAGUAGGAGGGUUUGGACCUGGUGGUGCUGGAACAGGAACAGGAUUUGGACCAGGAAGUCAAGGAUCAGGAAAAAGAAAACCGUCUAAAUCCGGUUAUGGAACUGGUUAUGGUUCAGGAAGCUUAGGAGGAGUUGCAGGAACUGGCACUGGUGGAGCUGGAGCUAGAACUGGCGGCUUUGGUCCAGGAGGAGCUGGAACAGGUGGCUUCGGUCCAGGAGGAGCUGGAACGGGUGGCUUCGGUCCAGGAACUGGCGGUUUCGGUCCAGGAGGAGCUGGGACUGGCGGUUUCGGUCCAGGAGGAGCUGGGCGUGGUGGCUUCGGUCCAGGAGGAGCUGGAACGGGUGGCUUCGGUCCAGGAGGAGCUGGAACGGGUGGCUUCGGUCCAGAAACUGGCGGUUUCGGUCCAGGAGGAGCUGGGACUGGCGGUUUCGGUCCAGGAGGAGCUGGGACUGGUGGCUUCGGUCCAGGAGGAGCUGGGACUGGCGGUUUCGGUCCAGGAGGAGCUGGGACUGGCGGUUUCGGUCCAGGAGGUGCUGGAACUGGCAGUUUCGGUCCAGGAGGUGCUGGUGGAUAUGGACCUGGUGGCCAAACAAGAAAGCCUCCUAAAUCAGGUUAUGGCUCAUCGUUAGGUGGCACUGGCUAUGGACCAGGUGGUGUAGCAGGAGGCCUUCCUAGUACUGGAACAGUAGGAAUCAGUGGAGGCGGUCCAGGUGGUGUAGGAGGGCAGGCAGGAGGCCCUGGAGGACCAGGCCAGGGAGUAGGAGGAGGACCAGGUGGCUUACCAGGGGGUGCUGGCCCUGGUUUUGGAGGGGUGGCUGGUGGAGGCUAUCCAGGAUUUGCAGGGGCUGGGCAAAAAUCCAAGGCACAGAAGGCAGCCAAAUAUGCAGCCCUGCAGGCCCUACUUGGAUCUGGGGGCUACAGAGGUGCUGGCUGUCAGGGUAAAUUCUGUGGCCGAAGGAGGAAGUGAGCCACCAACAGACAUGAAGUGACCUCAUCAAUACAACAGUGGUGCUAUUGCAUGAUCCCAAACUGUAAAUGUCUUAUCUGCCAUGGAAGCUAAAGCUUCAACACAUUCCAAGUGUUACAUUUUUAUUUGCUUAGAUGUUGUACAAGGCUUACUGAGUAAGAAAAAUGGUUCUCAACCUGUUAGAAUCCUGAUUCCUGAAAGCAAGAUGCUGCAGACUGCUAUGCAGAUUGGAGGAUUUGUCACUGUCACAUUGAUUUUUUGGGGGGAUAAUUUGCAAAUUUGGCUUUGGUCAGAUAUAAAGUAUUCACAGUUUCUCAAGAAAAAACACAAAUUAGAGUCUGAAUUUCAAGAAUUAAGUUUCAAGAGUGACAAUAGGCUUGUUUAAGAUGGGACAAACUUGCGCUGAAUUGAUCAACACAGAUUGCUGCAUAAUGGAUGCUAGUUAUAUUUCCAUAUUGAUUCCAACUUGUUUUGAUGUCAGAAUGACACAGGCAAUAACAGCAUCAUGAGAUCAUGACAGAAAACAUCUGGCUUUCACCUGCUCCAUUAGCUGAUUGGUUCUAAUGUCGAGUCUACAAUAUGAAAUUUGAUAAUGAUAAGUUACAAGAGCGUUCAUGUAAAAAUGGAGGCUGAACCAAGAACAGAGGUUACAGAUGCCCUGUCAUAAUUAAAACUAUUUAAUGAAUCAACUAGUUUCUGUAACUUCCUGCUUUGACUGAAAGCUGCUGGAAACUGUCUUGACUGCUGACUUUUAACACUACCCCGUGCUGUUGCUAUCUGUUCCUGACUUCUGUUAGAACCGCAGUUGAUCUCAAAUGAGUCUAUUAUUCCAUCAGCAACACAACAACCAGCAAACUGGACACAAUGGAAUUCUUCAAGCUCUAGUUCUAAUUUGUUAACAUUUCUUAUAGUCCUAAUAUUCCCCAAUGAAUCACUUUGUAAGUCUCUGGGGAUCUUGACUACCAGGCUGAGAACCACUAAAAUGAAGGAUCUGUAUUUCUUUUUAUCAGUGAGGCCAACCUGCUCUAUACUACAGUUAUUGUUUUCUAUUGCUGCGUUGAAUAUCAUUUGUGUUCCAAUGCAAGUAUCACCAUGAAACCUCUGGGUUGAGACUGAUACCAAGGACUCCCUCAGGGCAGCUCCUUCAGACCUGUCUGCAUGCUGACACAAGGUUUAUGAAAAACGUCUCCAAGGCAACAUUUUUGUCCAGUUAGACUGGGUCGUUCUUUUGUCUACAGAUUUUAAAAUGUGCUAAUUCACUGUUUUUAGCUUGUACAUCAGUAGACGCUCUUGUGUAAUCUAUCAGCAAUGUGUAAUGACCAAGAAACAGAUGGCUGCUGUUCUGUGGAAUGAUGAACAAAAGAGACACUCAGUGGAGUCUUCUGUGGUUUGGUGUUUUGACUGGUCAUUAUCUCAUCCUUAAAAAGCAGCCUCUGUUCAUGUCAACUGUACUCAGGCCUCAGUAGUAUCAACCGUGGAGGCCUAAAAGUAUUUUGCUAACACUGGUGAGAUUCUUCCACUCUGUUCACAACAUUAAAGACACUGUUUUAUAGCUACGUAACACUAAGUGGUAAUAGUGUAAAGUUUUGGUUAACCUCCAUUUUGCUUUCAUUGUUAGAAGGAGAUAUUUGUUAUGAUAUAAUGAUGUGGCUUAGUUUUAGCUUUUACAUUUGCUGUUGAGGAAAGCAUUCAAGCUAAAUGUGAGGUAAUAUGACAAGAAUACAUGAGGAGUACUGAUUACUGUUUUUUUUUUUCUUUUGAUGUACCUCCUUUAACACUGUUGAAAAUUUGUUCACGUUUACCAGACUUUUUAAAUUAUGCUGGAUAAUAGGGAUCUAUUUAGUCUUAUUUUACAAAUUCAAGAGCAUUAAUACAGUAUUAAAUAUUUCAGCUAGUUAUUUUGUGUGUGAGUGUUUCAACAGUUAUUAAACGUGUGUACUACUAUGAUGAUAGAAGUGCUUUGUUUUCUACAUUGUCCUUGAAUGUGUGUUGAAUCACAAUGUAGUCUGUGAGGUCAUUAGGAUAAAAAAGUAUAACUGAAUCUUAUCUUGCAUUUGAGCUUAUGUUUGUGUUUAUCAUGCGGCUCAACAUGUGUUUUUAAUGUAUUUUUUAUGUGGCCUAUGAAGAAAAUAAUGCACUUUUGUACACUUUCUGACUAUGCUCUCUGAAGUAAAGAGAUGACCAAUGAC
Long non-coding RNA from Amphiprion ocellaris (clown anemonefish), 8784 nucleotides. NCBI's taxonomy places the organism in Eukaryota, Metazoa, Chordata, Actinopteri, Pomacentridae. The record is from Ensembl.